RNAcentral lists this ribosomal RNA (401 nucleotides) under Bacillus subtilis. Its description in RNAcentral is "bacterial SSU rRNA". It matches the Rfam family "Bacterial small subunit ribosomal RNA", at positions 329 to 721 of the family's 1533-position model. Lineage: Bacteria; Bacillati; Bacillota; Bacilli; Caryophanales; Bacillaceae. The record is from RNAcentral.
GCCCAGACUCCUACGGGAGGCAGCAGUAGGGAAUCUUCCGCAAUGGACGAAAGUCUGACGGAGCAACGCCGCGUGAGUGAUGAAGGUUUUCGGAUCGUAAAGCUCUGUUGUUAGGGAAGAACAAGUGCCGUUCAAAUAGGGCGGCACCUUGACGGUACCUAACCAGAAAGCCACGGCUAACUACGUGCCAGCAGCCGCGGUAAUACGUAGGUGGCAAGCGUUGUCCGGAAUUAUUGGGCGUAAAGGGCUCGCAGGCGGUUUCUUAAGUCUGAUGUGAAAGCCCCCGGCUCAACCGGGGAGGGUCAUUGGAAACUGGGGAACUUGAGUGCAGAAGAGGAGAGUGGAAUUCCACGUGUAGCGGUGAAAUGCGUAGAGAUGUGGAGGAACACCAGUGGCGAAGG